UAGGGAAUCUUCGGCAAUGGACGAAGGUCUGACCGAGCAACGCCGCGUGAGUGAAGAAGGUUUUCGGAUCGUAAAGCUCUGUUGUAAGAGAAGAACGGGUGUGAGAGUGGAAAGUUCACACUGUGACGGUAUCUUACCAGAAAGGGACGGCUAACUACGUGCCAGCAGCCGCGGUAAUACGUAGGUCCCGAGCGUUGUCCGGAUUUAUUGGGCGUAAAGCGAGCGCAGGCGGUUAGAUAAGUCUGAAGUUAAAGGCUGUGGCUUAACCAUAGUACGCUUUGGAAACUGUUUAACUUGAGUGCAGAAGGGGAGAGUGGAAUUCCAUGUGUAGCGGUGAAAUGCGUAGAUAUAUGGAGGAACACCGGUGGCGAAAGCGGCUCUCUGGUCUGUAACUGACGCUGAGGCUCGAAAGCGUGGGGAGCGAACAGGAUUAGAUACCCUGGUAGUCCACGCCGUAAACGAUGAGUGCUAGGUGUUAGGCCCUUUCCGGGGCUUAGUGCCGCAGCUAACGCAUUAAGCACUCCGCCUGGGGAGUACGACCGCAAGGUUG
RNAcentral lists this ribosomal RNA (550 nucleotides) under uncultured bacterium. RNAcentral's name for it is "bacterial SSU rRNA". It matches the Rfam family "Bacterial small subunit ribosomal RNA", at positions 355 to 896 of the family's 1533-position model. The record is from RNAcentral.